GCACUGAGAGAAGUUUCCGUAUCAAGAGCCUGCCUCUGAGGGAACGGACUGUGGACAGUGGUCAAGGAGAAAUUCCUCUUCUGAUUAGUUUUAUUGCCCCUGUGACAUCUGAGGAGUAUGAAGUAGGCUGGUAAUUCAAUCCUAGAAGGAAAUUGGAAUAUUAAAGAAACAGCUUAUUGUUGCAAUCCCAUCAAACUUGCCUCUUCCAGUGGCAGUGAGAAGCUCCAUUGUGGGUGGAGAUGGAUUUAGGAAAGACUUUCUGCAUGAAAAUGGCAUUUCAACUGGACAUAGAAAGAUCAUCUGGAGGGAAGUUGGAGACAGCUUGGGGACCGAGGAGUAUUCCAAAGUACCACCGAUGCCAUGAACAAGACAACUUCAAUCCUUGCCCCCCCGGAUUGCCCAAGUAACUAUUAGCAGAUGACAAUUGCGGUAAAAUCUUUGAAGGAAGGGUGUUAGCUUGAACAAGGCUUUGGCUAGGCUUCCGUGAGAAAUGCAGUU
Lagenorhynchus albirostris (white-beaked dolphin) is the source of this 498-nucleotide long non-coding RNA. RefSeq lists it as uncharacterized. NCBI's taxonomy places the organism in Eukaryota, Metazoa, Chordata, Mammalia, Artiodactyla, Delphinidae. The record is from RefSeq and is a predicted model, not a curated record. The transcript is spliced from 3 exons.